GACGAACGCUGGCGGCGUGCUUAACACAUGCAAGUCGAACGGAAAGGCCCUGCUUUUGUGGGGUGCUCGAGUGGCGAACGGGUGAGUAACACGUGAGUAACCUGCCCUUGACUUUGGGAUAACUUCAGGAAACUGGGGCUAAUACCGGAUAGGAGCUCCUGCUGCAUGGUGGGGGUUGGAAAGUUUCGGCGGUUGGGGAUGGACUCGCGGCUUAUCAGCUUGUUGGUGGGGUAGUGGCUUACCAAGGCUUUGACGGGUAGCCGGCCUGAGAGGGUGACCGGCCACACUGGGACUGAGAUACGGCCCAGACUCCUACGGGAGGCAGCAGUGGGGAAUAGUGCACAAUGGGCGGAAGCCUGAUGCAGCAACGCCGCGUGCGGGAUGACGGCCUUCGGUUUGUAAACCGCUUUCGCCUGUGACGAAGCGUGAGUGACGGUAAUGGGUAAAGAAGCACCGGCUAACUACGUG
This 468-nucleotide ribosomal RNA is filed under the name uncultured bacterium. Its description in RNAcentral is "partial 16S ribosomal RNA". It matches the Rfam family "Bacterial small subunit ribosomal RNA", at positions 28 to 507 of the family's 1533-position model. The record is from RNAcentral.